CUUAAAAAUAAUUGGCUCCAAUUUGAGCAAAAACUCACGACCUUCACUUUCCCAGACACACAAAGAGUUCAAAAGUUCAAAAUACCAUGAUUGAAAGGGAGGUUAUGGAAAAAAUCAAAAAGAAAAAGAAAAGGGAAUUUUGACAAGGGAAGAAAAAAAGAAACGUUAGAAGGAAAGAGUUUUUUGGGAAAAGAAAAAAAGUAAAAUAAAAUUUUAUUGACAUAUUCCUAAUAUCUCUCUAACUCCCCACUACUCCACUAACCAAAUCUAACCACCUUAGAAUUCCAGCCCCACCUAAACUCUAUCAAACAACCGAAACAAAAAUUAAC
RNAcentral lists this long non-coding RNA (329 nucleotides) under Gossypium raimondii (Peruvian cotton). RNAcentral's name for it is "long non-coding RNA (GRAI_LNC004672)". The record is from RNAcentral. Lineage: Eukaryota; Viridiplantae; Streptophyta; Magnoliopsida; Malvales; Malvaceae.